Molecule: long non-coding RNA, 330 nt
Organism: Triticum aestivum (bread wheat)
Lineage: Eukaryota; Viridiplantae; Streptophyta; Magnoliopsida; Poales; Poaceae
Exons: 3
Source: RefSeq, a predicted model, not a curated record
UUUGGUAUAGCGUUUUACUUACAGUAUUUCUACUUUCCUUGUUUGCUUACAAGCUGUUUUUUCUUUUUGACUCUGAUGAAUCCCCCAGGCCAUUUUUAAGAACCCGUUCAGGAGGGGUGACAACCUCCUUGUUAUGUGCGACUGCUACACACCACAAGGUGUUCCAAUCCCCACCAACAAGAGGCACAAUGCUGCCAAGAUCUUCAACACCUCGAAGGUUGCAGCUGAGGAGAGAUGGUAUGGAAUUGAGCAGGAGUACACUCUCCUCCAGAAGGAUGUGAACUGGCCCCUUGGCUGGCCCGUUGGUGGCUACCCUGGUCCUCAGGCAAG